UUCCUACUCCCUCCGUUCCGAAAUACAUGACUUUCAUUUGUCAAAAUAUAGAUGUAUCUAGACAUAUUUUAGUAUAUAGGUACAUCCAUUUUUGAACAAAUGGAAGUCAAGUAUUUUGGAAUGGAGGGAGUAUUUA
Molecule: non-coding RNA, 136 nt
Organism: Triticum aestivum (bread wheat)
Lineage: Eukaryota; Viridiplantae; Streptophyta; Magnoliopsida; Poales; Poaceae
Source: Rfam